This 350-nucleotide non-coding RNA is filed under the name Chaetura pelagica (chimney swift). RNAcentral describes it as "Eukaryotic small subunit ribosomal RNA". It matches the Rfam family "Eukaryotic small subunit ribosomal RNA", at positions 636 to 984 of the family's 1831-position model. The record is from Rfam by way of RNAcentral. Lineage: Eukaryota; Metazoa; Chordata; Aves; Apodiformes; Apodidae.
GGCCAGAUUGUCUUUUCUGCUGGAAUAACCUCUACUGACAAUUGUACUACUGUUACUACUUAAAAAAACCCAAAACAAACCCCAGCAUUUCAGAGUGCACUCAUUAAGAAGUUUGAUACGUUUUUCAGAAGAAAUCAAAGCAUUUAAAGCUGGCUGCCCAACAGUGCAUUCCAGCCAGGAAUAACAGGACUCUGGCUCUUUUUUUUUGGUUGUUAUUUGGAAGCAGGACCAUGACUAAGAGCAGUGGCUGGGGGCAUUCAUGUUGUGCCACUUGCACUGAAAUUCUUGGACCAGUGCAAGAUGAACUAAAGCAAAAGCAUUUGACAAGAAUGUUUUCAUUCAUCAAGGGC